UUUUGUAAUCAUAUGUAUGUUGUCAUAACAAAGUUUUUAAACCAUGGAUCACAAAAUUUGAAUCUGAGAUUUUUAACAGUUUUAGUAAUUUAUAGUCGUUUUUAGAACUUCAAAAUAUAACACAUAAAGAAAAGUCUAAAUUUUAUUAUAUGAUUAAUAUGGUUGUUUAAUUUAUUUUAAUAGUUUAAAAUUAAAUAAAUAUGAUAGAAGAUACACUAAUUUUUAUCAAUUUUUUUUAUUAUUCAAAAUCAUUAACUAUCAUAUAUACUUUAGCCACAUUAGAAAAUUCCGUAAUUUUUAUUUAAGGAAAUAAUAAAGAAUAUUAAUAAUGAAUUUAUUCCUAGUUUAAUAAAAUGAUUAUUAUAUAUUUAGAUGGACCAACAUAUUUUUAUAAGAAUUCUAAGAAUCAUUUUAGUGAUGACACCUCACUACCAAAAACUGUUGUAAUUCUUCUCAAUUAAUAUAUGGCUUUUUGCAAAUAUGACUUAAAACUUGAAUUCAAACACAAAAUUAACCAUUUUUUUUUUAACUUUGACUUGCCUCUUUCACCCCAAAGUUCAGAUUAUUCACGAAAAUGCCAUCAUUUUUUUGUCUUCAAAAAUGUCUAUUUUACUCUAUCACCCU
Molecule: long non-coding RNA, 624 nt
Filed under: Brassica napus (rape)
Lineage: Eukaryota; Viridiplantae; Streptophyta; Magnoliopsida; Brassicales; Brassicaceae
Description: long non-coding RNA (BNAP_LNC025747)
Source: RNAcentral